Molecule: ribosomal RNA, 459 nt
Filed under: uncultured bacterium
Lineage: Bacteria
Description: bacterial SSU rRNA
Rfam family: Bacterial small subunit ribosomal RNA
Source: RNAcentral
CCUACGGGUUGCAGCAGUAGGGAAUAUUGGGCAAUGGUCGGAAGACUGACCCAGCCAUGCCGCGUGCAGGAAGAAGGCCUUCUGGGUUGUAAACUGCUUUUAUCUGGGAAGAAAAUGUCCUUGCGAGGAAAACUGACGGUACCAGAGGAAUAAGCACCGGCUAACUCCGUGCCAGCAGCCGCGGUAAUACGGAGGGUGCAAGCGUUGUCCGGAUUUAUUGGGUUUAAAGGGUGCGUAGGCGGCUUGAUAAGUCCGUGGUGAAAGCCAACAGCUCAACUGUUGAACUGCCAUGGAUACUGUCGGGCUUGAGUACAGACGAGGUAGGCGGAAUUGAUGGUGUAGCGGUGAAAUGCAUAGAUACCAUCAAGAACACCGAUUGCGAAGGCAGCUUACUAGGCUGUAACUGACGCUGAGGCACGAAAGCGUGGGGAGCGAACAGGAUUAGAUACCCUAGUAGUC